UGUAUCCUACGGGAGGCAGCAGUGAGGAAUAUUGGUCAAUGGCCGAGAGGCUGAACCAGCCAAGUCGCGUGAGGGAUGACGGCCCUACGGGUUGUAAACCUCUUUUGUCGGGGAGCAAGACCCGCCUCGUGCAGGCGGAGCGAGAGUACCCGAAGAAAAAGCAUCGGCUAACUCCGUGCCAGCAGCCGCGGUAAUACGGAGGAUGCGAGCGUUAUCCGGAUUUAUUGGGUUUAAAGGGUGCGCAGGCGGACCAUCAAGGCAGCGGUAAAAUCGGGGGGCCCAACCCCCUCCCGCCGU
This 297-nucleotide ribosomal RNA is filed under the name uncultured bacterium. RNAcentral's name for it is "partial 16S ribosomal RNA". It matches the Rfam family "Bacterial small subunit ribosomal RNA", at positions 333 to 627 of the family's 1533-position model. The record is from RNAcentral.